This 142-nucleotide unclassified non-coding RNA is filed under the name uncultured Mycosphaerellaceae. Lineage: Eukaryota; Fungi; Ascomycota; Dothideomycetes; Mycosphaerellales; Mycosphaerellaceae. The record is from RNAcentral.
CUGAGUGAGGGAGCAAUCCCGACCUCCAACCCUUUGUGAACUUAUCUUGUUGCUUCGGGGGCGACCCUGCCGUUCGCGGCAUUCCCCCCGGAGGUCAUCAAAACACUGCAUUAUUGCGUUGGAGUAAAAAGUUAAUUUAAUA